Molecule: long non-coding RNA, 13369 nt
Organism: Planococcus citri (citrus mealybug)
Lineage: Eukaryota; Metazoa; Arthropoda; Insecta; Hemiptera; Pseudococcidae
Exons: 4
Source: RefSeq, a predicted model, not a curated record
GCCAUUUCCGCCUGACGUCGCGAUGGUGUGGACUGUAGACAGUGUAGAGUUUGGUGUUCGACUGUAAUGUUCGUUAAGUCAGUUUAUUUUAUAAAAGUGGUUAUGAAAAAUGGUGGCCGUAUAGUUUUCGACGAAGAAGAUCUUCCUUAUGAAGAAGAUAUUCUUCGACUUUUCGUAAUCAGUACGUGGUGAAGCUAUGGAUGCGUUAUUAUUACCGUUAUAUCGAUCACAAAAGAGACGAUCCGAAAAAUCAAAUGGCGAGGUACCUACAUUGGUAAAUUUGCGAGGCAUAAAGGGCGUGAUACAUACUCGUAGGUACAGGUAAAAUGUAAUACGCUACAGGCAAUGCCACAAUAUAAAACUCGUUCUUCCACACCGCUACUCCUCAGUUACCUAUUAAUUACGACCUGUUCCUCGAAGAGAAGAAAAUAUUUUGAAGAAGCAUUUUAGAGCUUACUAUGAGGGAAUCUCUUUAUUCGAAAGGACCCAAUGUGAUUUGAUAUUUGAAAUACGUAUUUAACGAAAUUUCUCAAUAGAUGUGGAGGAAAACAGUUGGAUCGAGCUAUAGAUUUAUUCAUCCUGUUUUUGGAACAUUGUCCUCCAAAAUUUGCCAAAAGUCAACAUGAUGUCCGCUCUCAGAUGUUAGCAGCUGCCGCGAAUGUAUCUUAAUACCGUUUCCGGUUCCGAUCUGGCAUGACGCUAAAGAUGGUACAUACGAAUAUGAAUGUUGGAGGCAAAGGCAGCCGAAAUAUCAGCCGCAGAUGGUGAAAUAAUAUAGAUAAAUUUUCUAAAUAUUUUGUAUGAGUGACAAUAUGCUGUAUAGUUUUUAUCCCGAGGUUGUUGUAACUUCGUUCAAACGCCUCGUGUUUUCGAUCUUAUUUUCAAAUCGAGCUUGUACUUUUAAAUCAUCAUGCUGAAAUUUUUGGAUGCACAAAUUGUAAGAAAAAAAACGAAAUUGGCUUGAUUUUUGAAACAAAUGUACCUAAUCCUUUGACAAACCUUGUGGGUAAAUAAUUUUAAAGCCUGCGAUAAGUUUCUUCAUUUAUCUUUCUUAUGCAAGAUUAAUACAACGGCUCCUGCAGCUGUCUCAUAGAGUGCAGUUAGCUCUAUAAAAAAAAAAAAAAAAAAAAUGAGAAAAAAACGAGUCAUUAUUUAUUUAUUUUUUAGAAAAACAUGUUUAUUUAGAGAUGACGAGUUAUUGAUUCCUAGUAUAUUUUCUUGUAUCGGGCCCAGAUCUGAUUGAAUACCUACUUAAGGGUAAUCAAUAAUCAUUAAAAUGAAAAAUUAUUGAAUAAUUCAAUAUACUACACUAUACAAAAAGUUGAUAUAUAAAUAUUUCAAUUCCAAGUUGUCAACAAUUUUGGAAUCCUGAUAUAAUUCUGUUCCAUUUUCUCAGUUAUCCUUGUUUUCUUUAGUUUGAAUAAUCAUUUUACAGAAAUCAAAUUUAACGAAAGAUUAAAAACGUCUUGCCUUGUUUAGUGCUUCAAGAGGAGCAUUAUUUAUAUUAUUUAUAUUAAAAUUUAGGAAUACAUAGUUAGGUAACCUUGUUCUUGCAAAAAAUUGAACAAUAAACUGAGAUUACUGAGCUCAACAUUCGGGUGUUCACUGAGCUGUUAACUUUAAAUCUUUAAUUCUACUAUUUGGCUCACGUGUACAUUUUCAAAUAGAUCAAUUUUACAGCAUUACCAUUCUCACUCAACAGUUUCAUAAUCCAAAAUUUUAUCACUGAAUUUUUAAAAACAGUAAGCUGCACAGUGAUUAAUGGGAACAAUUUGUAGCCCAACCAACCCCAGAUGCGUGUGAAAUAAGGCUAUUUAGUACACCAUUCUAUAGAAAUUAAAUUAAAUUAAAUUAAAAAUAUCUUAAAACAAAAAACCAUAAAUGAAAAUUCCUACAGAGUGGAUUUGAUUUUCUAAAUUGUCUAGAAUGGAUGAACACUUGAUUCUAUGUAUGUAUUUAUCUAGAUUGUUGAAUAAAACAGACACAGUUGUUCUUUGCCCGGAACUCAUAGCCAUACCUGCUGAAUGUGAUAUUUAGGUAACUGCUGUGUUGUCUGGGUUGUAAUUAAAAUGAUUAAAAAUAUAUUAGUGCAAUAAUUAUUAUUCAAAAUAUGAAAUAAUACCUAUUAUAUAAAUUAAAUUCAACAAAAAAAAUGAAACUGUCUUACAAACUAAAAACGGCAAAGGAAUAUUACUUACGAGUACUUAUUCCUAUAGAAUCUUGAUUCAUAAUUGUGUCAUUCCGCAGGUAAAGGGCCCAUUUCAUUCCCUAAUCCAUCACACAUGCCACGUGGCUACCAUGCCAGUUAACAAAAUUGUGUUUUUGAGUGGUAUACAUGUUGCCACUGGCGACUAGGUGCAGUAUAAUUCGGAGGGUAAUUUUUUGGAAGCGAAUUUACCGCAAAAAAAGCAAAAUCGACCAAAUGGGCCCUUUGUAGAAAAACUGUAGUUCCAUUUUUCUCCGCUUGGGGUGCACCUGCUGCGUUGAUACUUUAACACGCGAUAGUCGGAUAUGGUCUACAUCGAAAUCCAUCAAAACCUUGAUUAUCAAUUCUCUCAACUUUUUCACUAAAAACACAAUUAUCUCAAUAAAUAGAAGCGACCAAAUGGGCCCUUCACCUACGGAAUGACACAAUUAUACCUAUGGUCAACAUAACUAGAAAGAAUAACAAUACCUACCUUGAAUUAUCAAUACUACUUAGGUAGGGCUCAUCAAUAUGAAUUUGUUUUUUUAGGGUUGAACUAUAACCCACUUACUAGUGCUAUAGAAAUUGUUACUAGUUGUUACAAACAGAAAAUUUUAUCCAUCAUUACUCUUCAAUUUUCCUUCACACCCAACAACAGAACAACUUGUAUUUUGAGGUUUUUUCAAUCUCCAACUUUUGAGUAGUUUUUGAUAACUAGUUUCAAAUUAAUGAAGCAGUUUUAAAAAAUCCAUUGUUUAGCCAUCCUUUUAUGCAGCAAAUAUGGCUUGUAAAUUGUUCUCUAAAUAGAUUAAAUUUUACAAAAAAAAUAAAAGUGUCUUACAACAAAAAACAGCAAAGGAAAAUUACUUACUUAUUCCUAUAAAAUCUUGAUUCAUACAUGAAUUCUUGGUUGAUUGAAAACAAAUACAUCAAAUCGAAACUUUGAAAGGGGUUUUAACUAUGUGUUGGUAAAAUUCCUGGUGUCAAGGUUAAACUUUGAUUAUGCAGAAAUGCAAGGCCCAGAUACAUUUGUCCACGCAAAGUUCCAUAUGCAUUACGUGCUGCAUAUGAUCGUAAACUUGAUGAAUUAGAACGAGAUGGUGUCAUAACAUAGGUCGAUACCAGCGAUUGGGGUUUGCCAGUGGUACCAAUCAAGAAAGAAAAUGAUAAAAUUUGAUUGUGUGGUGACUAUUAAGUGGCUAUAAAUGAACAGCUUGUCGAUAAUCAUUUUCCAAUUCCAAAAAUCAGAGAAGUAUUGCCUCAACUAAAAGGUGCUCGGGUAUAUUGUCAAUUGGAUUGUUUCAAAGGAUACUUACAUUGUGAAGUCGAUGAAGAGAGCGCUGAAAUUUUUAUGAUUUCUACACAUAGAUGUACUUACUGUGUCAAUUGAUUGGGAUUUGGAGUCAAAACAGGGCCAGGCGAGUUUCAUGAGAUCAUGAAGAGAAUCUUAGCUGGUUUACAUGGUGUAAUUGACUUGUAUUUUGAGGUUUUUUCAAUCUCCAAUUUUUGGGUAGUUUUUCAUAACUAGUUUCAAAUUAUUAAUGAAGCAGGUUCAUAAAAUUCAUUGUUUAGCCAUCCUUUUAUGUGGCAAAUUAUGACUUGUAAAUUGUUCUAUAUAAAUUAAAUAGGUAUAACAAAAACAGAAAAAUGUCUUAAAACAAAAACCAGCAAAGGAAAAUUACUUACUGGUGGAACUUUAACCCUCUUAUCCAUGUUUCCUUCAGAGUCUUCUUCAUUAUCUGAAUGUGGAUUUUUGUUUUUUACAAAAUCAGAAUUGUAGGCUAUUAGUGGCUCAGUUUCUGUUCUUAUUUGUGCUGGUUCUGUUGUGAUUGUUUGUCUACACAACUCACCAUUCAGAAAUUUAUUUGUGCUGGUUCUGUUGUGAUUGUUUGUCUACCCAACUCACCAUUCAGAAAUAAUACUUCUGAUUUUGUCACAAUAGCAACAUUUUCAUUUUUUAAUCUAAUUUCCUCAACUUUCUCUAGAAGUGGGUUAAGGUAACUUGUCUCAAUUCUUGGUUGAUUAAAAACAAAUACAUAGACAUACUAACAAUUAUGUUUCCUCCUACAAGAAUAGGACUCAUUUGAAAACUGAUAGGAAAAUCCUUCCCAAUUCAAAUAGUUUGCAUUUAUUACUGUUGGAGGUGGCGGUGUGGUUGUUAUAGACAAUUUGGGAGGUUAUGUGUAGGUGUUUGCAGAUUCAGAAUUUGUUUGGUAGCAUUCCAAACAUCUUUACUACUUGGUUCUACAUAUAUAAAUUAAAUUUAACAAAAAAAAGCAAAGGAAAAUUGCUCAUAAGUACAUUAAAUUUAACAAAAAACAGCAAAGGAAGAUUACUUACUUAUCCCUAUAGAAUCUUGAUUCAUGGACAUGGUCAACAUCUAUGAUUGAAUUGUUAAAAUGGGCUUACCAUAAUGAUUACAUUGAACUUUUCAUCAGUCAUUUUUUGUUACAAUACCAACAUUUUCAUUUGUUAAUCUGAUUUCGUGGGGGUAACUUGUCUCAAUUCUUGGUUGAUUGAAAACAAAUACAUACUAACAAGUAUGUUUCCUCCUACAAGAAUAGGACUCAUUUGAAAACUGAUAGGAAAAUCCAUCCUAAUUCAUACAACCUUCUAUCCAGAUGAACAAAUGUUUCUCCACCAGAAGUAUAAAAACUUUGGUGUUAGUAGACGUUUCACAAAUUAUUUCUGAGAAAUUGUAGUGUGAAACACCUAGGCUAGAACUUGUGAAUUCUAUCCCAUUGUCAAACUUCAAAAAAGAAUUUUGCAGGGAAUCCAUCUGCAAAAAUGAUCUGAUUUCAAAGAAUUUCUGAUUAAUAUGAGACAUAGGUAUUUAGAAAUAAUUCUGGCUAAUUUUUAGCAAUAUGAUGCAAUUGAUUUGGAGAGAAUUUCAAAGCAUGCAUGCUUUAUUUGUUCUGUAAUCUGCAUUGUUUUACAAUUACACAUAGUGGCAUUGAAUGGUCUAUGCAAUGGUAACAGACCAUGGUCAACUUCUAUAGUUGAAUUAUCAAAAUGGGCUUACCAUAAUGAUUACAUUGAACUUUGCAUUGAUCUUUUUUUUGUUUGAAUAAUGCUCCUCAAAAUACACACUUAUUUAAUUCAUAAUUAUAAAGUUUUUUAUCAUUUUUCAUUUUUAUAUGUACACUACAUAGCCUGUGGGUGUGUACAAAUUACAAUUUAUCAAAUUAGGUGGUUUGAAUCUCUAUUAUGUUAUUGUUGAUUUUAACUAUGAUAGGGUACCUAUAUUUUAUAAAUGAUAUUUUUUCAUAUUAAAAUAUUGAACAGUAAACAUUUACAUUACCAUUCGGAUAUCACAGUUAGUGGUGUCAAUUAUUCAAAAAAAACAUCGAUUUUGAAAAUCGAUUUUCAAUUUUUUGAAAAAAUCGGCCAAAAAAUAAUCGAUUCUGCAUAAUCGAUUUUUUUCGUAUUUCUUUGAUGAUUUCUUGAAUGUUGUUUUGAAAUUUCUGGACUUUUCAACAGUGAAUUUACAUUAGUGAAAAAACUGCAAUUUCCGGUGUAAAUUUCUUCAAUUUUUCAAUUUUUUGCAGAGUUCUUGUCUUUUUUCAGUUUUUUUAUAUCAUUUUCGACUGAUUUUCUCGUAUUUUUUGAAAAAAAUCAAAAUAAUCGAUUCUUGUAAAAAUAAAAUCGGAAUCGAAAACAUCGGCGGAUCGAAAAAUUGGCAAAAAAUCGAUUAUUUGGGACUGAUUUUAUUAAUUUUUGAUUAAAUCGAUUUUUAAUCGACACCACUAAUCACAGUUACAAUAUUUAAAGUUGACUUAUUUUUACUAAUACUAUCCAUCUUUUAUGAGCAUAUUGAAAAAUGAAAAAUUAUAAUGGGACCUCCUAAGAAAACAAACAAACUGAUCCUUGGGAUGGCCAGUGGAUUUGGAGAAUCGAAUCCACAGGCCUUUAUAAUGGGAUCGUGAUUAAUUGGUGGCUUGCAAAUUUGGGGAGGUAGUGUAUAUGUUCGGCCCACAUACACGGAACUAUAGGGUUAUUGGUUAAGUAGAUCACCCCCCCCCCCAAAAAAAAAAAGAAGUUGUAUAAUUAUCUUGGAAAAGUUUCGCCAAACUCGACAAAGUCGAUAAAUUUUAUGAAUUUUUAGUCUCAAUAAAGGAAUUUAUUUGCCGAUUUUUUUGGAACUUGAAGCAUAUGUUUGGGUCCAGCCUGUUUUUUUUUUUCAAAAUCAAACUUUCUGAAAAUCUAUUAUUUAUUCAAAUUUUUAAAAAUGUUUAAAUUGAAUAAUGAACUCCUCACAUGGAAAAAAUGUUUUUUUUUUUUUUACUUCUCGAAAUACUAAAUUUUGAGAGCUUUUGCCUUCACUUCAUUUGGGCCUUUUUACUUUUGUUUCUAAAACUAAAAUUUCUUCAAAAAAUCAGUCAAAUUUUGAAAUUUUGAAGCCAAAAACAUCUUUUCAUAAAAAAACAUCGUUCAAUCAUUAAAAUGAAAAUUUUCAAAAGCAUUUGCCCUCGCUGCCUGGUCCAAUUUGUUUGAUUAUUUAAUUUUUUUACAAAAUGAUUUCACAUUCAAAAACUUGGCUUUUUAUUCGGCAAGAUUGGUAUUUUUUUCUCAUGUUAAUCUGCAGAUUUUUGGUUGAUCCCCCACCCCCUUCCCAGACAAUGCGUCUUUGAGAAUUUGAAAACGUUUUCAUCUGCUGUAAUAGGUACCUACGUUUUUCCAGGCAUAACAAAAUGUGAGCAAAAUUCGGCAUAAAUUUUGUUUGAAAAAGUUACAAUUCAAUUAGAUUAGGUACCUAUUUCAGAAGAUGGACAAGCUUUAAAAGAAAAAGCUUGUCCAUCUCUUUCAAUGUGAGGGUAGUUUGAAAUAUGUACAGGAAUUUGAUAAAGUAACUACAAAACGUAUUGUAAUCGUAAACAUUUUGCUCAAGCUGAGCUUAACCCAUCUGGUACCUUCUCGAUUUAUUUUUUUUUUUGCCUUAAAUACCGCGUGAAUUUUCUACUGAUUGAAUUUUUCAUGGAGGUUUUGGAAAAAAUCCAUCUACAAUACAAAAAUUUGCUUAAGCAGCCAUGUAAGUCCGAAAGUAAGUAUAAGUAACGUUCUGUGAUAUGGCCCUGAAUGAUAAAAACAAAAAGAUUACUUACAUCAUUCAUAUUAUUCAUGGUGAUGGUGAUAAAAACAAAAAGAUUACUUGCAUCAUUCAUAUAAGCACCACUUCAAUUUAUUAAGUAGAUUCAAUUUAUUAAGUAGAUGACGAUUUAAAAAACAUGUUGAUCUUUGAUGAAAGAGUAUUUCUUCUUUGAUCUGCCUUAUUUUCCAAUUGUAACUGGCUAUGCAACAGUGAGAAGGGUGCAUGGUCAUUGGUCAACAUGUAUGGUUGAAUUGUCAAUUGGGCUUACCAUCAUAGUUAUGUAGAACUUUUCAUCAAUCAUUUCAGUUGCAGUCUUGUUUGUAUCCAGUACAUCUGGUUUCUUAUUUUUGAAAGUAUCCAAUAUAUCUCUUACAAGAUCUUGCUUAAUACUUUCGUGACUUCUCCACACAAUGGCGUUAUGCCUAAAAUAUCUAAUUUGAUGAUACAUAAUAUGUUUCUCAGUGACUUCUAAUGUACUUGAUAGUCUGCCUCUUAGGCUUGACCCAAUAUGAUGUAUUACAGUAAAUACUUGGUUAAGUGAUUAGAGAUUUAGUAUACUUGGAGUGUUAUUGUUUUUUAUACUUAACUAGUUUCAAAUUAAUGAAGCAGUUUCAAAAAAUUCAUUGUUUAGCCAUCGUCUUAUGAGGCAAUAUGGCUUGUAAAUUGUUCUAUAUAAAUUAAAUUUAACAAAAAACAGCAAAGGAAAAUUGCUUACUUAUUCCUAUAAGGUGCACUGGGGCAAGUCAGAAUGAUUUUUCACAAUUUCAACUUUGACCAGCUGUUACUCCCCUUCUAAUGAACAAAUGUGUCAUUUUAAGGUGAAAGGUCCCACUUUGACAAAAUUGAGUUAAGACCGCCAAGUUGUAUUUUGGACUAUUCCUGAUCGAAUGGAGCAAACCCGACGACAUUUCGUUGAUUUUUACCCAACUUACACCACCUAAACACUCAUCACUACAAAAAACUUAGUUUUGAGAAAAACGAGUUUAAAAAUUUUUAAGUGUUUUUUUCAUUUAAAAUCGUCAAACGAACGCUAAAAAAGGUCUCUGAUAGCUCAUUUUGAAGGAAAUUUUAUGCCGAAUCUAAUGGUAAUAUGUACGCGAAGUCAUCUGCAGAAUAUCUCUUUGCUUUCGUGAAAAAACUGUAGAAAAUUUCAUGAUUUUUUGAAAAAAAAAUUUUUUCAUUUUUUUCUGAUUUUUUCAAAAAAUUGUAAAAAUGUAAUCAUUUUUCAACUCCCCUUCCCCCCUCAGAAGAUCACAGCAAAAAAUGAUUUCAAAUUGCAAUUUUUCAUCAUUUUCUUGUUUAAAAAAUUUUUAUUUUCAAUUUUUUUCUGAUUUUUUUCAAAAAAUUGUAAACAUGUAAUCAUUUUUCAACUUUUCCCUCCCCCCUGACAGAAGAUUAAAGCAAAAAAUAAUUUCAAAUUCCGAUAAAUGAAAGGAUAGGCCUGAGUAGUUAACUUCAACGCGCUAGUUCGCGGGGUUCUCGUUAGGAGCGCGAACUAAAAAUCAUACCAGCUGUUAGAGGAGAUCGUCUAGUAUCCGAAUACGUCAAAAAAUAAAAAGGUCCCACUUUGACAUUUUUCAACUUUGAAUCGAUUUUGCGAGAAAUCUGAAAAUGUCAAAGUGGGACCUUUUACCUUAAAAUGACACAAAUAUGGAUCAAAUUUAUUAUGUAGGUUCCCAUAAGGGUUCUUAACCUAUGGUAAAAAUUUGAGCGUGAUUGACACAGUAGCUUUCGCUCAGUGGAAUAAAAUAUAAACUGUCCUGACUUACCCCAAUUGGGGGAAGUCAGAACACGCUAUACUUUGCAGAGGCGUAGAUCACAAACCGAGCGUCCUAGAAAAAUUGCACAUAAACAAAAUUGUAGAGAAUUUAAUUCUCUUUGAGAUCACUCUCAUCAGAUUUUCACUAGGACGCACGGUUCGUCCGCUAUAUGCGAAAAACUAAGAAAUAGAAAGUCUGUAUUUUAGACCAAAUUCAAAAUAAGUUCAAAACAACAACAAAAUUCAAUUGAACCAAAGACAUCUAAAAUGAAACUGAAUCGCGAAAAUUUUUAUGCCGUGAUGAAGUAGGGGUAGUACCCUCAAGUCACUUUUAGUGGCACUUCGCCAGAUAUAAACCUCUAGGUGCUAGAGCAAGUUUUCUAACUUACCCCGAAUUCCAACUUCCCCCGGUGCACCUUAUAGAAUCUUGUGUCUGAUUCCGAAGUGUUUUGGGUCAAUAUGAGACAUAUUUAGAAAUAUAAUUCUGGCUAAUUUUUAGCAAUAUGAUGUAAUUGAUUUGGAGAGAAUUUUAAAGCAUACAUGCUCUAUUUCUUCUGUAAUCUGCAUUGUUUUCCAAUUAUAAAUUGUGGCUUUGAACUGGCUAUGCAAUGAUGAGAAGAGAACAUGGUCAACAUAUGUGACCCGCUCUGACAAAACCGACCGUUUCGACAAAAAAAGUGUCCAAAAUAAUGAUGUUUAAAAUGAGUUUUAAGGGUUGAAAGAUCAGAUUUUUGAGAAAAAAACAUUUUUUGAAAUUUUGUCGAAAUGGUCGGUUUUGUCAGAGCGGGUCACAUACAUACAGUUCAAUUGUCAAAUGGGCUUACCAUCAUGGUUAUGUAAAACUUUUCAUCAAUCAUUUCAGUUGCAGUCUUGUUUGUAUCCAGUACAUUCAAAUCUGUAAAGGGUGGACAAUCCACUAAUACUAGUUUCUUAUUUUUGAAAGUAUCCAAUAUUUUAUCUCUUACAAGAUCUUGCUUAAUACUUUGUGACUUCUCCACACAAUGGCAUUAUGCCUAAAAUAUCUAAUUUGAUGAUAUAUCGCACCUCGGGAGUUAUAAGGUCACAUCUCAAAAAAGUGAAAUUUUACAGGAGAGUGGUUUUCUUUUUUUUCAAAACUUGAUUCAUUAUUUUCAUCAACUUAUAAUCAAUUGUGAGGAAUGAAUAGCAUGUCAUUUUGAAGAUUGGGUAUCCUACCUUCAUUUAGCAUAAGAAUAUUUUGAAAAAUAAAAUCUUAAAGAGGAAAUAUUUCAAUGUUUGGAAAACAUUUUGAGUUAUAACCUUUCAUAAAAAGUGAUCUGGAGGCAAAAAAAAGCGUCCAAAAAAAUUUUCAUGUUAACAAAAUUGUAGAGAAUUAAAUUUCCAAUCGACAUAAUGUCGUUAGUUUUUUUCUAGAGUGCUUAGUUUUUGAGUUCUUCCCAAAAAACUAAAAUUUUAAUAUAUAUGCAAAUUAAUUUUUCUGAAAAAUGUUCUAUUUUAAAAAUUUUUUGUUUUGGAACAAACCUACAAAAAAUACACUCCUUGUGAUUAUUUUACAUCUUAAAAACGUUCAACACUAUGGAAACUGGUUUCUGACACUUUGUAUGUGCAAAUUUUACUCUAAGAAAGAGGAGUUUUUUGAGAUGUGACCUUAUAACUCCAAACAACUUGCAAUGUUGUAGAAAUUUUGAGUUAGGCCCUUUGCAUUUUUUACAUGAUCUAAGCAGCAUACCCGACUCAAAGUGUUAUUUUUGGUUGCAGGGGGUCAUGCAAACCCCAAAAAUGCAAAAACAUCAAAAUCGAUUUUUUUGAGAUGUGACCUUAUAACUCCCGAGGUGCGAUAUAAUAUGUUUCUCAGUGACUUCUAAUGUACUUGAUAGUCUGCCUCUUAGGCUUGACCCAAUAUGAUAUAUUACAGUAAAUACUUGGUUAAGUGAUUAGAGAUUUAGUAUAUUUGGAGUGUUAUUGUUUUUUAUACUUAACUAGUUUCAAAUUAAUGAAGCAGUUUCAAAAAAUUCAUUGUUUAGCCAUCGUCUUAUGCGGCAAUAUGGCUUGUAAAUUGUUCUAUAUAAAUUAAAUUUUACAGAAAACAGCAAAGGAAAAUUGCUUACUUAUUCCUAUAGAAUCUUGUGUCUGAUUCCAAAGUGUUUUGGAUCAAUAUGAGACAUAUUUAGAACAAAUAUAAUUCUGGCUAAUUUUUAGCAAUAUGAUGUAAUUGAUUUGGAGAGAAUUUUAAAGCAUACAUGCUCUAUUUCUUCUGUAAUCUGCAUUGUUUUCCAAUUACAAAUUGUGGCUUUGAACUAGCUAUGCAAUGAUGAGAAGAGAACAUGGUCAACAUAUACAUACAGUUCAAUUGUCAAAUGGGCUUACCAUCAUGGUUAUGUAAAACUUUUCAUCAAUCAUUUCAGUUGCAGUCUUGUUUGUAUCCAGUACAUUCAAAUCUGUAAACGGUGGACAAUCCACUAAUACUAGUUUCUUAUUUUUGAAAGUAUCCAAUAUAUCUCUUACAAGAUCUUGCUUAAUACUUUUGUGACUUCUCCACACAAUGGCGUUAUGCCUGAAAUAUCUAAUUUGAUGAUACAUAAUAUGUUUCUCAGUGACUUCUAAUGUACUUGAUAGUCUGCCUCUUAGGCUUGACCCAAUAUGAUACCUAUGUGUAGGUGAUAAUGUUUAUAAAGAUGGGACUAUAAAAUGAAUAAAGUUUGAAAAUACAGUAAUAAAAAUCUGAUAAUUUUACUAUUUUUCAUUUCUUAUAUAUGUAUUUGUGGGUGUGUAACUGUAUAAUUAUUACAAUUUAUAAGCACCAUACAUUAAAAUUAGGUGGUUUGAAUCACUAAAGCACAAACGAACGGACUUGAAGCACAAACAAACACAAACGAACGACCUUAUUUUCAACACAAUUGGUGGGGGGGGGUGUACCUAAAAAAAAAACACAUACUCGGGGUGAUCGCCUGGAAACCGAGCCAAAUGUCUAUUGUUGUUUUUAACCGUGAUAGAGUAUAGGUAGUUAUUUUUUCCUAUAUAACUACUUUUUCAAAACCCACAUCAAAAGUGCUGUUGAAAAAUGAAGUUUUUCAAAUUCAAGACUGCUACAUUCAAGUUGUCUGCUUGAAUUGUGAGGUUAUUUUUAAUUAGAGACAAAAUCUCCCGCCCUUGAUACGUAAAAAUUAAAUUAUUAAGUUCGAUGCUUACAAUUUUCGCUUUUAAAUUAGCUUUAUUUUUGACUACAAGGUCUACGUUUUUUCUGCGAAGGAAAACAUCUUUGUAUUCAGGAGUAUGCCGUGGAUGUUUCCCACAGUUCUUUUGACCUUGUCUAGACCUUCGAUUACCUUUUCUUCAUUAGGUAUGUAGGUAUUAUUAUAAAUGAUGAUUUUUUCAUACUAAAAUAUUGAAUACGUCUUACAGUAAACAUUACCAGGAAAACCAAAAGACAAAAUACUGGUAGGUAUUCUAGGUAUAGUAACCUGUAACUGCUGUGUUGUCAAGGUUGUAAUCAGAAUUAUUGAAAGUAGUGCAAUAAUUAUUAUUCAAAGUUUGAAAUAAUCCCUCUUUAGAAUUUUUUUCUUGUUUUUUCAAUGCUGGGAUAAGCCCAAAACAAAGAAAUUUCUGUUUUAUUAAUCAAUAUCCCUCAUGAUUUGAUUGAUUUGUUUGACUAAUUAAUUUCCAAACAAGAAUAAUACAAUAAUAAUUUAAAUACUUAGGUACUUACUUGUUAACGUUAAGGUACAUGGGCGGAAUAAUAAUUAUGAUAAAGAAGAAUCCGUCAUUGUGGAUUCAGUGAAUGUACAUGAUUGUUUAGAUAAUAUAGGUAUACAUGAAGAGUGAUAUUCCAAAACUCGCUUUGUCCAUUUUUAUCAAAGUUGAGUUUUCAGCAGUACCUGGUAGAUGAAGUAUUAACUCACAUUCCUACAUCAUCAACCUACCAAAAUGAGGUGUUGCACUCACCUAAAUAGCCAAUUCACUAAAAAUUAAAAAAAAAAAUAAUGUUCCAAAACGCGCUUUGUUCAUUUUUAUUGAAAUUUUUUUCAGCAGUAUUUAGUGGAUGAAGUGUAUACCUACACUCCUACAUCAUGAAUCCACCCAAAUAAAGUGCUAAACUCGCCUGAAAAGUCAAUUUACCAGUUUAAAGGGAAACUGUUUUUCCUCUUUCCUGAAAAGUUGUGAAAAUGGACAAAGCGAGUUUUGGAAUAUCACUCUUCACAUACUUAAUAAAUAUAAUUAUUUAAUGCAAAUUCCUGUACCUAAUCAUUUUUUCAAAAAUUUGUGAAAUUUAUAUUAUUUUUUUCAACAUGAUGUAUAAAAUGUAUACCUGCUCUUGUUUUCAGUGAAAACUAAAUAAAUUACAAGAAUUUUAAAUCAA